GAUGAACGCUGGCGGCGUGCCUAAUACAUGCAGGUCGAGCGAACAGACGAGGAGCUUGCUCCUCUGACGUUAGCGGCGGACGGGUGAGUAACACGUGGAUAACCUACCUAUAAGACUGGGAUAACUUCGGGAAACCGGAGCUAAUACCGGAUAAUAUAUUGAACCGCAUGGUUCAAUAGUGAAAGACGGUUUUGCUGUCACUUAUAGAUGGAUCCGCGCCGCAUUAGCUAGUUGGUAAGGUAACGGCUUACCAAGGCGACGAUGCGUAGCCGACCUGAGAGGGUGAUCGGCCACACUGGAACUGAGACACGGUCCAGACUCCUACGGGAGGCAGCAGUAGGGAAUCUUCCGCAAUGGGCGAAAGCCUGACGGAGCAACGCCGCGUGAGUGAUGAAGGCCUUCGGAUCGUAAAACUCUGUUAUUAGGGAAGAACAAAUGUGUAAGUAACUAUGCACGUCUUGACGGUACCUAAUCAGAAAGCCACGGCUAACUACGUG
Molecule: ribosomal RNA, 497 nt
Filed under: uncultured bacterium
Lineage: Bacteria
Description: partial 16S ribosomal RNA
Rfam family: Bacterial small subunit ribosomal RNA
Source: RNAcentral